Molecule: ribosomal RNA, 209 nt
Filed under: uncultured bacterium
Lineage: Bacteria
Description: partial 16S ribosomal RNA
Rfam family: Bacterial small subunit ribosomal RNA
Source: RNAcentral
GACGAACGCUAGCGGCGUGCCUAAGGUAUGCAAGUCGAACGGGGGGCGCAAGCCCCUAGUGGCGAACGGUCGAGGAACACGUAGACAACCUGCCUCCAAGUGGGGGAUAACAGCCCGAAAGGGCUGCUAAUACCGCAUGUGGUCCCUUCUCGCCUGGGAAGGGGACUAAAGGUUUACUGCUUGGAGAUGGGUCUGCGGCCUAUCAGGUA